CCUACGGGAGGCAGCAGUGAGGAAUAUUGGUCAAUGGUCGGGAGACUGAACCAGCCAAGCCGCGUGAGGGAUGAAGGUACAGAGUAUCGUAAACCUCUUUUGUCAGGGAACAACGGCGGGGACGUGUCCCCGGAGGAGUGUACCUGAAGAAAAAGCAUCGGCUAACUCCGGGUCAUCAGCCGCGGUAAUACGGAGGAUGCGAGCGUUCUCCGGAUUUAUUGGGUUUAUAGGGUGCGCAGGCGGUCUGGUAAGUCAGCGGUCAAAGCCCGGGGCUCAACCCCGGCCCGCCGUUGAAACUGGCAGUCUCGAGUUGGAGAGAAGUAUGCGGAAGGCGCGGGGUAGCGGUGAAAUGCAUAGAUAUCGCGCAGAACUCCGAUUGCGAAGGCAGCAUGCCGGCUCCACACUGACGCUGAGGCACGAAAGCGUGGGUAUCGAACAGGAUUAGAUACCCGAGUAGUC
Molecule: ribosomal RNA, 459 nt
Filed under: uncultured bacterium
Lineage: Bacteria
Description: partial 16S ribosomal RNA
Rfam family: Bacterial small subunit ribosomal RNA
Source: RNAcentral